UUCGGAUUGUAGUCUGCAACCCGGCUACAUGAAGCUGGAAUCGCUAGUAAUCGCGGAUCAGAAUGCCGCGGUGAAUACGUUCCCGGGUCUUGUACACACCGCUCGUCACACCAUGGGAGUCGGAAAUGCCCGAAGUCUGUGACCCAACCUCAGGGAGGGAGCAGCCGAAGGCAGGUCGGAUGACUGGGGUGAAGUCGUAACAAGGUAAC
Molecule: ribosomal RNA, 209 nt
Filed under: uncultured bacterium
Lineage: Bacteria
Description: partial 16S ribosomal RNA
Rfam family: Bacterial small subunit ribosomal RNA
Source: RNAcentral